Molecule: ribosomal RNA, 253 nt
Filed under: uncultured Oscillospiraceae bacterium
Lineage: Bacteria; Bacillati; Bacillota; Clostridia; Eubacteriales; Oscillospiraceae
Description: partial 16S ribosomal RNA
Rfam family: Bacterial small subunit ribosomal RNA
Source: RNAcentral
UACGUAGGUGGCAAGCGUUGUCCGGAUUUACUGGGUGUAAAGGGCGUGUAGCCGGGUUGACAAGUCAGAUGUGAAAUCCUGCGGCUUAACCGCAGAACUGCAUUUGAAACUGUUGAUCUUGAGUACUGGAGAGGCAGACGGAAUUCCUAGUGUAGCGGUGAAAUGCGUAGAGAUAUGGAGGAACACCAGUGGCGAAGGCGGCUUCCUGGUCUGUAACUGACACUGAGGCGCGAAAGCGUGGGGAGCAAACAGG